Molecule: ribosomal RNA, 468 nt
Filed under: uncultured bacterium
Lineage: Bacteria
Description: partial 16S ribosomal RNA
Rfam family: Bacterial small subunit ribosomal RNA
Source: RNAcentral
GACGAACGCUGGCGGCGUGCUUAACACAUGCAAGUCGAACGGAAAGGCCCUGCUUUUGUGGGGUGCUCGAGUGGCGAACGGGUGAGUAACACGUGAGUAACCUGCCCUUGACUUUGGGAUAACUUCAGGAAACUGGGGCUAAUACCGGAUCGGAGCUCCUGCUGCAUGGUGGGGGUUGGAAAGUUUCGGCGGUUGGGGAUGGGCUCGCGGCUUAUCAGCUUGUUGGUGGGGUAGUGGCUUACCAAGGCUUUGACGGGUAGCCGGCCUGAGAGGGUGACCGGCGACAUUGGGACUGAGAUACGGCCCAGACUCCUACGGGAGGCAGCAGUGGGGAAUAUUGCACGAUGGGCGGAAGCCUGAUGCAGCCACGCCGCGUGCGGGAGGACGGCCUUCGGGUUGUAAACCGCUUUCGCCUGUGACGAAGCGUGAGUGACGGUAAUGGGUAAAGAAGCACCGGCUAACUACGUG